UACAGAGGUCUCAAGCGUUGUUCGGAUUCAUUGGGCGUAAAGGGCGCGUAGGCGGCGGGGUAAGUCGGGUGUGAAAUCUCAGAGCUCAACUCUGAAAUGGCACUUGAUACUGCUCUGCUAGAGGACUGGAGAGGAGAUUGGAAUUCACGGUGUAGCAGUGAAAUGCGUAGAUAUCGUGAGGAAGACCGGUGGCGAAGGCGGAUCUCUGGACAGUUCCUGACGCUGAGGCGCGAAGGCCAGGGGAGCAAACAGG
This 253-nucleotide ribosomal RNA is filed under the name uncultured bacterium. RNAcentral's name for it is "partial 16S ribosomal RNA". It matches the Rfam family "Bacterial small subunit ribosomal RNA", at positions 524 to 776 of the family's 1533-position model. The record is from RNAcentral.